CAGUAUGGCGAAAUAUUCGAGGUUCAAGUCUUAAUGUUUCGAAUACCGGGUCGUACCGAACGCGGCGGGAUUAUUUGUUGGAAUAUUUGCUGUUAUCAUUCAUAUCGAUGUCAUGCAAACAGAAAUGGAAGACGAAACCUUCAUCUUCUCCAAUUCGAAGAAACCAGGAAAGCUCCCAAGCAUGAUGGAAAAUUGUCAACUGGCCGGAUUUAUUUUGGAAAAUCUGCCAGCAGCUUAGUAACAAUGACAAGAUAUGCUUCGACAUUUUGAGGCUGGAUUCAUAUGAAUCCCACUUCUCCACGCCUGGUACAUUCUACAGCCGUAAUCAUAGACGCUCAAGAGGGAGAGAUACAAGAUGCAGCUGUCAAUAUAUAGUGUUGUAACUACAAGCACUGGGUGCUGCUAACACUGUCAUCGAUGCCAGCACCACCAGUGCUGCCCCCCCACCUCCAUCUUAUGAUAGCCCCUCUAUACCUUAAGUUGCACUUUUAAGAGACUUAAAUUUUGUUGAUAUAUCUGCCAAAAAAAAAAAAAAAAAAUUGUUUCCAGAGUGCGUAGAGCAUAGCUACGUAAUUGGGAGUUAAAUUAGAAUACAACUCAACCAACAUCUGUACAGCAAAAGGUUAUUGUAUUUAGUUUCUCUCUACUAUGGCCGAUGGUUAAAAUUCUUUACAUAUUUGAAAAACAUGCUUUGAUAGUUUUCACAAUAUAAUAUGGUAGUAAUAAAAAAAAAAAAAAACAUAAUCAUUCGGUUAUCUGCUCAUAUAUUAAUUAUUGUUCAAAAAUUAUAACUAAAAAAUUGUUUUCUUUGUUUGUUUGUGUGAAAUAGUAUCUGAUAGAUACUCAAAUCAUUGUUGUACCAGAUAUAAGAACCAAUAUUAAUCCUUUACAUGUAAUAUCAAAUGAUAAACCCCUUUUGUUAACUGCAAAUAUUUUAUUUUGAUUUUCAGACACGGUGCAUUUGUGCUCCAAGUACACCGUUUCCAAGUACAUGCAAAGGAUAAAUAGGUUAAAAUCAAAAGGCAACAAUUUAGAAACUCGUCGGUAAACACAAUUAGCAAUAUGACAAGUAGGUCAAUACAUUUUGAGAGAUUGAAAAACAGUAGACAAAAGUGAUUGUGUGUUCAAGUGCUCAGUAAGAAAAAGAGAGAUAAAAGAUUGUGGACAUACUCUAAACCAACUAUUGCAUAAGUGCUUAUUUUUAUGAUGGAACUGGAGAAUUGAAUGGAAACAACUGUUAGGUUACAAGCUGUCAAAAUUAGAAUAAAAUAGGACUUUCUAUACAUGGUAAAAAGAAGCUAUUCUUAAAGUGACUGAUACGUUGUGCAUUGAGGUGUUAGGUGGCCAAUGAGUGAACAGGAAAUCAGUAAAGCAUUUAGGCAUAUUUGCAUAUAAUCCAUAUUUUAAACCUUGCAAGACAAAAUAUGUUAAAUGUAUGAUGAUUUACAUCUAGAAGAUAGUUCGCAGAAACUCCUAGAAUCCGGGAAAAAAUGUGCAAAUGGACUUCAUCUCAAAAGAUUAUUGAUACAAAAAGUUUGAGUCUUAACUGCCCCAUGGAUAAAGAAAGUGCCAUUUCCCAGAUAUGUGUAAAUUUGGCUAUACAACCAUCAAAUACCUUAGCUGUUGUAAGUCUUAACGUGAUAGUUGUGUGUUCUACCCUACAAUCGCGGAGACCAGGAUUAUCCCAAUGCAAAACCAUUUUCGAUCUGCCAUGUAAAAUAAUCUUUUGAAACUUUUCAAGUAAACUAACUGCACUGGUAAUCCUGGAAGCCUUUUGCUUUGGGCCAAAAUUAUAAAUGAAGCGCUAGUACUGUCGCGGAAUAACCAGGUGCUGGCUGUUUAUCAGAAGUUAAUUGUAAUGAAGUUGAAAAUAACAGAAUUAGGUUGUAUAUUCUCAAGGAAAAAAGUUGACAAGAUUGGAGACUACAUUUGU
Long non-coding RNA from Penaeus chinensis, 1933 nucleotides. RefSeq lists it as uncharacterized. The record is from RefSeq and is a predicted model, not a curated record. NCBI's taxonomy places the organism in Eukaryota, Metazoa, Arthropoda, Malacostraca, Decapoda, Penaeidae. The transcript has 3 exons.